AAACCAGCACCUCAAGUGGUCAGGAUGAUUAUUGGGCCUAAAGCAUCCGUAGCCUGUUCUGUAAGUUUUCGGCUAAAUCCAUUAGCUCAACUAAUGGGCCGCCGAAAAUACUGUAGAACUAGGGAGUGGGAGAGGUAGACGGUAUUCGGUAGGAAGGGGUAAAAUCCUUUGAUCUAUUGAGGACCACCUGUGGCGAAGGCGGUCUACCAGAACACGUUCGACGGUGAGGGAUGAAAGCUGGGGGAGCAAACCGGAUUAGAAACCCGAGUAGUCC
This 274-nucleotide ribosomal RNA is filed under the name uncultured bacterium. RNAcentral describes it as "partial 16S ribosomal RNA". It matches the Rfam family "Archaeal small subunit ribosomal RNA", at positions 473 to 747 of the family's 1478-position model. The record is from RNAcentral.